Molecule: long non-coding RNA, 2430 nt
Filed under: Sus scrofa (pig)
Lineage: Eukaryota; Metazoa; Chordata; Mammalia; Artiodactyla; Suidae
Description: lncRNA (ENSSSCG00000054404.1)
Source: RNAcentral
AGACAGGCGCGCCGGGGGACGGCCAAGCAGGAGCGAUCGGUCAUUCAGUCUACCGGCUUGGGCGUGCGACCCCCUUCUGCACCCGCACCUGCUCUUCCUGGGCCCUGCCGGCGUCCCAGGUGAAAGUCCCCACAAGCUGAUGGGUCUUUCAGAUCCGUCUCCCAGCCUCUCCCUCUUUUUCACCUGGUUACUUCUGCUCCUCGCACCCCCAUCACGGAGGGAUCUCUGACCCGCCCCGUGCGCAGCGCUCUCGGCUCCCCGGACCUCUGCUUUCCUUGUCACCCUCGGCUUCCUCGCGGCGUCUGCGCUGCUCUGGGCACCGGACUUGUCCCCCAGCGCGCCUUCUCCCACCCAGCGCAUCCAGGGCACUCUCCGACGAUCGAGGAGGAGGCGAGGCCACUGUCCUCCUCAGUCCUGGCGGCUUUCGUCCUCCAGCGGACACCCGCGCAGCCCGCCGACGUCCGGGUUGCACUUCGUGCUCUGCUUGAAGGGUGAACUGAGCCCCAGCCGCCGCUGACCGAAGCAGCUGCAGCCGUUCUGCAGGGGAAGCGCGGGUCCAGAGGAGGGGACCUAACCAAGGCUACCUUGAGAGGGGCGCUCAUUCAUUUAGCCCAACGCCUGCCCAAAGUCCUGAGCUCUUCUGUUCUAAGCCUUGUUUUGUGUGCUGAAGAUACAAAGGCUCAACCAGUACCUUUUACAGUGCCUGAUCCAAUGUGUGCACUCAGAACUUCAUCUCUGGAGCAUGUGAAUGAAUAAGUGGUCAGUGAAAAAGUCAAUCAGUAGUCAAUCUAGGAAAGAAAUGGAAAUUUUUAUUCAAGUCAACCUGAGGAUUAUCACCCAGGAAACAGUCUUUCAGAAAACGCUGAGGACUGUUUUGCCUUUUAGAGGUCAAGGCAUACGAGUUUUGAGACAAAGGAUUAUACAUCAAAGUAACCUGUUGAUGGUUUACAUAGUCCAACAAGGCAAGUAGUGGGUUACUUUUUCAUAGGAUUGGAAAAGGAAUGUUAAUCUCCUGAGGCGUCACCUUGCUGGCACUAGGAGAAAAUUCCCCCUCUCUCUUUCUUUCCCUUCUCUCUGGCCAGUAGGCGCUCUGCGUCUUCUAAGGAGAUCUAGUUAAUGUAUAAUGCAGAUACACGGUGCACACUAAAGGGGAGGAUGUAGUGGCUCAAAUCGACAGAGAGAGAAUUUUAUGUUUAGAAUUUGUCUUGUCCUGCAUUAAAAAUAAAUUUAUUGCAUCAAAGUAAACCAUUCCCCUACAAUAAUGCAACUGCUUUUGUUAUCCAGCUGAACAACCCAACCAUUCACCCACCCAACGCUCAGCAAAGUCAAUCUACUGACACUGGGUUGUGGUGAAGGAUGGCGUUUAUUGCAGGCACCAAGCAAGGAGAACAGGCAGCUCAUGCUCAAAAGACCCAAACUCUCCAGGGAAGAGUUUUAAAGGCAAUAUUUGGAGUGUAGGUUGCAGGAGCCAAGACUUUGUUCUGAUUGGUUUGUGGGUGAGGUAAACAGGUGGUGUUUAGAGACUCUUAAUCAUCAACCUUCAGGUUCCGAGCAGUCUGGGGUCUGUGUGCUUGUGGUCAGCAUGUCUCACCAUCCUCCACUAGUGUGGGGGUCUUAGUUCUUGCAGAACAACUCAAAGAUAAGUGUCAUAUUGUAAGGAUAUCGCUUGAGGAGGAACUAGUACUUGGUUGUAUUACUACUGUUUCUUGACUGCUUUUCCUUUGUUUCUUUAUUCCCUCACUUCCCUAAUUAGUAACGAUUUGAGUUUGCUCUUUGGAAUUCAGGAAAGGCCUUAGAGACCAAAGUCUUUAUUUCUACAAACCAGAAGCGGUCACGGUCACCGAGGGGCCUUUUCACCUGGGAGGGUCCUGCUCUGUUUCAGGCCCUCUUUUCUUUGCUCCUUCUCAAUCUUGAGAGGAACAGGGGUGGGACAAGAAAGAGAAUAAAGUUUUGGACAGAAAGGUUAGUCAUAAACUUGGCAGGGGAGCUCGGUUUUUAGGGGGAUUCGAUUUCACUCUAAGGGGGAUGUACACAGUGAGAGCAUGGGCUCUGGAGCUCGAUGCAUAUUCUGGUCCUACCUGAUUCUGGCUGUUGCUUUGAAGAUUGUUUGAGUUGGAAUUCCCAUUGUGGCUCAGUGGAAACAAAUUCAAUUAGUAUCCCUGAGGACAAGGAUUUGAUCCCUGGCCCCACUCAGUGGGUUGAGGAUCCAGCGUUGGUGUGGCUGUGGUGUCGGCCGACAGCUACAGCUCCUAUUUGACCCCUAGCCUGGGAACUUCCAUAUACCACAGGUAUGGCCCAAAGAAGACAAAAAAAAAAAAAAAAAAAAAGAGAGAGAGAGAGAGAGAGAUUGUUUGAGUUAAUACUCAGAGAAUGCUUAACUCCUCUGAUAUAUAGUAAGCAAUCAGUAAAUAUUUACUCUUGCAAUUAUAU